This 253-nucleotide ribosomal RNA is filed under the name uncultured bacterium. RNAcentral describes it as "partial 16S ribosomal RNA". It matches the Rfam family "Bacterial small subunit ribosomal RNA", at positions 524 to 776 of the family's 1533-position model. The record is from RNAcentral.
UACGGAGGGUGCAAGCGUUGUCCGGAUUUAUUGGGUUUAAAGGGUGCGUAGGCGGCUUUUUAAGUCAGUGGUGAAAUCCUGCAGCUUAACUGUAGAACAGCCAUUGAUACUGAAGAGCUUGAGUACAGACGAGGUAGGCGGAAUUUAUGGUGUAGCGGUGAAAUGCAUAGAUACCAUAAAGAACUCCUAUUGCGAAGGCAGCUUACUAGGCUGUAACUGACGCUGAGGCACGAAAGCGUGGGGAUCAAACAGG